Molecule: non-coding RNA, 94 nt
Filed under: Ditylum brightwellii
Lineage: Eukaryota; Bacillariophyta; Thalassiosirophyceae; Lithodesmiales; Lithodesmiaceae
Source: RNAcentral
CAUCGGGAUUUUCGGGUGUGUACUUCGAAAAAAUAUUGAAAGGAUCAAAAACAAGUCUUUGGAUAAGAAACAUACAAAUGGGUUUUUCAUCUAU